CUAUGGGGUGCAGCAGGCGCGAAACCUUUACAAUGCACGCAAGUGUGAUAAGGGGAUCCCAAGUGCUCAUGUAAUACAUGGGCUUUUGCUAAGAGUAAGUAUCUUGGCGAAUAAGUAGUGGGUAAGACUGGUGCCAGCCGCCGCGGUAACACCAGCGCCACGAGUGGGGACCACGUUUAUUGGGCCUAAAGCGUCCGUAGCCGGUUUGUUAAAUCUUUUGUGAAAUCGUAGGGCUUAACCUUACGGCUAGCAAGAGACACUGGCAGACUAGGAACCGGGAUGGGCAUGAGGUAUUCCAGGGGUAGCGGUAAAAUGUUAUAAUCCCUGGAGGACCACCUGUGGCGAAGGCGUCAUGCUAGAACGGAUUCGACGGUGAGGGACGAAAGCCAGGGGAGCGAUCCGGAUUAGAUACCCGAGUAGUCCUGGCUGUAAACGCUGCGAGCAAGGUGUUGCAUAAUCUCCGUGAUUGUGCAGUGUCGAAACGAAGGUGUUAAGCUCGCCGCCUGGGAAGUAUGGUCGCAAGACUGAAACUUAAAGGAAUUGGCGGGGGAGCACUACAAGGGGUGCGGCGUGCGGUUUAAUCUAAUUCAACGCAGAAAAUCUCACCAGAAGCGACGGCAGGAUGAAAGUCAGAUUAAAGGUUUUACUUGACGAGCCGAGAAGAAGUGCAUGGCCA
RNAcentral lists this ribosomal RNA (676 nucleotides) under uncultured archaeon. Its description in RNAcentral is "bacterial SSU rRNA". It matches the Rfam family "Archaeal small subunit ribosomal RNA", at positions 323 to 1000 of the family's 1478-position model. The record is from RNAcentral.